This 230-nucleotide long non-coding RNA is filed under the name Ananas comosus (pineapple). Its description in RNAcentral is "long non-coding RNA (ACOM_LNC017565)". The record is from RNAcentral. Lineage: Eukaryota; Viridiplantae; Streptophyta; Magnoliopsida; Poales; Bromeliaceae.
AACUAUUUUAAUUUUUUAUUUUCAAAAAUUUUUCAAAAAUUUUCUUCACUAUGUAUUUUUUUUUUGAGAGAUAAAUAGCACGCUACCCACUUUGUUUAUUUCAUUUAAAAAUAAACUUAGCUAGAAAUGUAAAUCAACUAGGAUUCGAACUUGGAUCUCAGAUACCAACCACCAAGUCUUUUGCCACUUGCUCUAAGGACGGGCAGUCACUAUGUAUUAGAUUUGUCUUG